Molecule: ribosomal RNA, 1678 nt
Filed under: Canthophrys gongota (Gongota loach)
Lineage: Eukaryota; Metazoa; Chordata; Actinopteri; Cypriniformes; Cobitidae
Description: 16S rRNA
Rfam family: Bacterial large subunit ribosomal RNA
Source: RNAcentral
GCCAAACAGCUAGCUUAAACACCCCUAUAACCAAUAAAUACAAAUAAUAUAUAAUAAACCUAAAAUAACUAACCUAAACCAUUUUUCCACUUUAGUACGGGAGACGGAAAUAGAUUAAAUAAGCAAUAGAAAAAGUACCGCAAGGGAAAGCUGAAAAAGCAAUGAAACAAAUCAUAACAGCACAAAAAAGCAGAGACUAGACCUCGUACCUUUUGCAUCAUGAUUCAGCAAGAACAUAACAAGCAAAGAGACCCUUUAGUUUGAAGCCCCGAAACCAAGCGAGCUACCCCGAGACAGCCUAUACGGGCGAACCCGUCUCUGUGGCAAAAGAGUGGGAAGAACUCCGGGUAGAGGUGAAAGACCUACCGAGCUUGGUGAUAGCUGGUUGUCCGAGAAAUGAAUAAAAGUUCAGCCCCAUGCCCCCCCCCAUCAAGAAAGUUAAUCUUAAAUAGAAUAAGAGAAAUACAUGGAGGUUAGUCAAAAGGGGUACAGCCCUUUUGACUAAAGACACAACUUUACAAGAAGAGUAAGGAUUAUAACUACUAAAAUACAUCGUCUCAGUGGGCCUAAAAGCAGCCAUCUGGAUAAAAAGCGUUAAAGCUUAAACGACAUAAAAUUUAUUAUUCCAAUAAAAAAUCCCAACCCUCUAAAAUUAUCAGACCACCCCGUGCCAACACGGGAGAGAUUAUGCUAAAAUGAGUAAUAAGAAAACACAUUUUUCUCCUGACACAAGUGUAAGCCAGACCGGACCUACCACUGGUAAAUAACGAGCCCAACAAAAGAGGGAAAAGUGACUAAUACUAAAAACAAGAAAACCCCACAACCAAAAAUCGUUAAACCCACACCGGAGUGUCUAUAGGAAAGACUAAAAGAGAAGGGAAGGAACUCGGCAAACAUAAGCCCCGCCUGUUUACCAAAAACAUCGCCUCCUGCUAAAAUCAAAGUAUAGGAGGUCCAGCCUGCCCAGUGACCCUAGGUUCAACGGCCGCGGUAUUUUGACCGUGCAAAGGUAGCGCAAUCACUUGUCUUUUAAAUGAAGACCUGUAUGAAUGGCCAAACGAGGGCUUAACUGUCUCCCCUCUCAGGUCAAUGAAAUUGAUCUGCCCGUGCAGAAGCGGACAUAAAAAUACAAGACGAGAAGACCCUUUGGAGCUUAAGGUUCACCUCAACCGCAUAAAAUAACUUACCAAACAAGUGCCAAACCUAGCGGAAAUGAGACAAUACCUUCGGUUGGGGCGACCAUGGAGAAAAAUUUAUCCUCCAAGUGGAUAGGACAUACAGUCUAAAACCAAGAGGCACACCUCUAAGCCACAGAAAAUCUGACCAAUAAUGAUCCGGCUCAAAAGCCGAUCAACGAACCAAGUUACCCUAGGGAUAACAGCGCAAUCCCCUCCCAGAGUCCAUAUCGACAAGGGGGUUUACGACCUCGAUGUUGGAUCAGGACAUCCUAAUGGUGCAGCCGCUAUUAAGGGUUCGUUUGUUCAACGAUUAAAGUCCUACGUGAUCUGAGUUCAGACCGGAGCAAUCCAGGUCAGUUUCUAUCUGUAACGUCUUUUUUCCUAGUACGAAAGGACCGGAAAAAAAAGGCCCAUGCCAAAAGCACGCCUUACCCCAAAUUAAUGAAAACAACUCAACUAAAUAAAGGGAGGACUAAAAACCAGGGCCAAGAUAAUGCCAC